UACGUAGGGGGCAAGCGUUGUCCGGAUUUAUUGGGCGUAAAGAGCUCGUAGGCGGUUUGUCGCGUCGGCUGUGAAAACUCGGGGCUCAACCCCGAGCCUGCAGUCGAUACGGGCAGACUAGAGUGCUGUAGGGGAGACUGGAAUUCCUGGUGUAGCGGUGAAAUGCGCAGAUAUCAGGAGGAACACCGGUGGCGAAGGCGGGUCUCUGGGCAGUAACUGACGCUGAGGAGCGAAAGCGUGGGGAGCGAACAGG
This 253-nucleotide ribosomal RNA is filed under the name uncultured bacterium. RNAcentral describes it as "partial 16S ribosomal RNA". It matches the Rfam family "Bacterial small subunit ribosomal RNA", at positions 524 to 776 of the family's 1533-position model. The record is from RNAcentral.